RNAcentral lists this ribosomal RNA (910 nucleotides) under Candidatus Anaerococcus phoceensis. RNAcentral's name for it is "bacterial SSU rRNA". It matches the Rfam family "Bacterial small subunit ribosomal RNA", at positions 527 to 1440 of the family's 1533-position model. Lineage: Bacteria; Bacillati; Bacillota; Tissierellia; Tissierellales; Peptoniphilaceae. The record is from RNAcentral.
GUAAGGACCGAGCGUUGUCCGGAAUCAUUGGGCGUAAAGGGUACGUAGGCGGUUAGAAAAGUUAGAAGUGAAAGGCUAUAGCCCAACUAUAGUAAGCUUUUAAAACUGUUUAACUUGAGAGAUGGAAGGGAAAGUGGAAUUCCUAGUGUAGCGGUGAAAUGCGCAGAUAUUAGGAGGAAUACCGGUGGCGAAGGCGACUUUCUGGCCGUUAUCUGACGCUGAGGUACGAAAGCGUGGGUAGCAAACAGGAUUAGAUACCCUGGUAGUCCACGCCGUAAACGAUGAGUGUUAGGUGUCUGGUUUAAACUGGGUGCCGCAGCUAACGCAAUAAACACUCCGCCUGGGGAGUACGCACGCAAGUGUGAAACUCAAAGGAAUUGACGGGGACCCGCACAAGCAGCGGAGCAUGUGGUUUAAUUCGAAGCAACGCGAAGAACCUUACCAGGUCUUGACAUAUUUUGGAAGCACUUAGAGAUAAGUGCCUAUAUCUUCGGAUAACUGAAAUACAGGUGGUGCAUGGUUGUCGUCAGCUCGUGUCGUGAGAUGUUGGGUUAAGUCCCAUAACGAGCGCAACCCCUAUGGCUAGUUACCAUCAUUAAGUUGGGGACUCUAGCAAUACUGCCGGUGACAAACCGGAGGAAGGUGGGGAUGACGUCAAAUCAUCAUGCCCUAUAUGACUUGGGCUACACACGUGCUACAAUGGCAGGUACAGAGGGCAGCGAGACGGUGACGUCAAGCGAACCUCAAAAAGCCUGUCCCAGUUCGGAUUGCACUCUGCAACUCGAGUGCAUGAAGUUGGAGUUGCUAGUAAUCGCAGAUCAGAAUGCUGCGGUGAAUGCGUUCCCGGGUCUUGUAUACACCGCCCGUCACACCAUGGAAGUUGGCAAUACCCGAAGCCUGUAAGCGAACC